UAGACAAAGAAGAAGACAGUAGUAAGCAUUAAUAUAAUUCUCAAGAAAUACACCAAAAGAAUCUUCUGAUUCAACGGACCAAACAAAUGGAGAUCUCGAGGAUCUUACUUAAAUCUCAAAUAAUACAGUUACAUAUUAUUACAAGAAAAUAACACAAAGCAAGCAAAGCCGGACAUUUCGGGAAGCAAUACAAAAAAAAUUGGCAGAGGCAAUGGAAUUGCUCCAAAUAGGAGGAUGCAAAUGAGUUAAUAGUCAAGGAAGUUGUGGAAAAUUAUGAAAGUGAACGAUUUGAAUAUUAGUAGUAGGUUGGUGGGGGUGGAGGUGAAGCAUAUGUGGCAGAUUGCUCGUAGUUUUUAGGUGGUGGAGGUGAGGCAUAAUUGGAAAUUUGUUUAACGUAGUUUGUUGGAAGUGGAGGUGAGUAGUAUAAUGGCGAUUGUUCAUAGGUCUUUGGUGGAGGUGGCGGUGAUUCAUAAUAAGGUGGAGGUGGCGGUGAUUCAUAAUAAGGUGGAGGUGGAGACUUAUAAUUAAUUGGUGACUGCUCGUAGUAUUUUGAUGGUGUUGGCGGCGGCGGAGAGUAGUAUGAAGAUGACUGCUCAUUGUAUUUUGGUGGAGGCGGUGGAGAUUUGUAAGAAGAUGAUGAUUGCUCGUAGUAUUUUGGUGGAGGUGGAGGUGACUUGUCGUAUGAAGGUGACUUUACGUAAUACGCUGGUGGUGGUGGUGGAGAUUUGUAAUAAACUGGUGACUUGUAAUAUUUUGUUGGUGGCG
This 765-nucleotide long non-coding RNA is filed under the name Nicotiana benthamiana. RNAcentral's name for it is "long non-coding RNA (NBEN_LNC024060)". Lineage: Eukaryota; Viridiplantae; Streptophyta; Magnoliopsida; Solanales; Solanaceae. The record is from RNAcentral.